This 274-nucleotide ribosomal RNA is filed under the name uncultured bacterium. Its description in RNAcentral is "partial 16S ribosomal RNA". It matches the Rfam family "Bacterial small subunit ribosomal RNA", at positions 523 to 796 of the family's 1533-position model. The record is from RNAcentral.
AUACGGAGGGUGCAAGCGUUACUCGGAAUCACUGGGCGUAAAGCGCGCGCAGGCGGCUAUUUAAGUUGGAUGUGAAAGCCUACGGCUCAACCGUAGAACUGCAUCCAAAACUAUUUAGCUAGAUUGUGGGAGAGGAAGAUGGAAUUAGUUGUGUAGGGGUAAAAUCCGUAGAGAUAACUAGGAAUACCAAAAGCGAAGGCAAUCUUCUGGAACACUACUGACGCUGAGGCGCGAAAGCGUGGGGAGCAAACGGGAUUAGAAACCAUAGUAGUCC